GUUUGAUCCUGGCUCAGGAUGAACGCUGGCGGCGUGCCUAAUACAUGCAAGUCGAACGCACAGCGAAAGGUGCUUGCACCUUUCAAGUGAGUGGCGAACGGGUGAGUAACACGUGGACAACCUGCCUCAAGGCUGGGGAUAACAUUUGGAAACAGAUGCUAAUACCGAAUAAAACUCAGUGUCGCAUGACACAAAGUUAAAAGGCGCUUUGGCGUCACCUAGAGAUGGAUCCGCGGUGCAUUAGUUAGUUGGUGGGGUAAAGGCCUACCAAGACAAUGAUGCAUAGCCGAGUUGAGAGACUGAUCGGCCACAUUGGGACUGAGACACGGCCCAAACUCCUACGGGAGGCUGCAGUAGGGAAUCUUCCACAAUGGGCGAAAGCCUGAUGGAGCAACGCCGCGUGUGUGAUGAAGGCUUUCGGGUCGUAAAGCACUGUUGUAUGGGAAGAACAGCUAGAAUAGGGAAUGAUUUUAGUUUGACGGUACCAUACCAGAAAGGGACGGCUAAAUACGUGCCAGCAGCCGCGGUAAUACGUAUGUCCCGAGCG
Molecule: ribosomal RNA, 547 nt
Filed under: uncultured bacterium
Lineage: Bacteria
Description: bacterial SSU rRNA
Rfam family: Bacterial small subunit ribosomal RNA
Source: RNAcentral